RNAcentral lists this long non-coding RNA (3042 nucleotides) under Homo sapiens (human). Its description in RNAcentral is "HSALNT0043794". Lineage: Eukaryota; Metazoa; Chordata; Mammalia; Primates; Hominidae. The record is from RNAcentral.
UGAACUUCUGACCUCAGGUCAUCUGCCUGCCUCGGCCUCCCAAAGUGCUGGGAUUACAGGCGUGAGCCACUGCACCCAGCCCCUUCAGAUAAUUUCUUAUUGCUCCUUAACAUCAUUUUCUUUCAAAGUGAAGAACUCCCUUUAGCAUUUCUUGUAGGAGAAGUCUGGUGUUGAUGAAAUCCCUCAACUUUUGUUUGGUUGGGAAUCUUUAUUUCUCCUUCAUCUUUGAAGGAUAUUUUCCCUGGAUAUAUUAUUCUAGGAUAAAAGUUUUUUUUUUUCUUCAGCACUUUAAAUAUGUCAUGCCACUCUCGCCUGGCCUGUAAGCUUUCCACUGAGAAGUCUGCUGCCAGACAUGUUUUUUAUUUUUAUUUUUGUAGAGACAGUGUCUCACUAUGUUGCCUAGGCUGGUCUUGAACUCCUGAACUCAAGCAAUCCUUCUGCCUGGCCUUCCAAAAUGCUGGGAUUACAGGUGUGAGCCAUGGUUCGCAGCCAGAGUUUAAAAUUGGAUAUGACAGUUGGACUGGUGGGUUAGAAUUCCAGUUUCUCCCCACUGAGGCCAGGGUCCAUAAUCUGAGCAUAUCUAGUUCAUCUUCUCCAGAUCAGUUUGGUGACUCCCUACUCAGUCUCCAUCUCAGAAGUAGGGACAGAAGGAAGAAUCUGAAAGCAGGAGGACCAGAAAAUAUGCUUUCAAUACCUCUUUUACUAUCAAAUAUCAUAGAGUCUAAGGGACACAUUAAAGGGCUAUCAUGAGUGAUUAAAGGCCAAAAAGAGUGGAAAUGACUAGCAGGGUUUACACUUGACUUUCUGCAAGUGAGCAGUGAUCCAACAAAGAUGGUGAGGUAGGGUGGAGUGGGUGAGGGUGGUGCGGAGAUUCAGUACAGGCCCAGCCCAGCAGGUUUAGUGGGGGUGAGGCAUGGGAAUAGUGGUGAAGAUAGUAUUGGAGUUACUGUGCACAAUCCAAGCUGGAACAAAACUUUAGUACACCUAAGAAUUUGGGGUAAAAUGGUGCAAUGGACAGAAUAUCCUAGAGAAGUUGUGUUGAGUUUGGGGGUAUAAGUGGGACAUCAGGUAAGGAGGCUGCUGCAGUGGCUUAGCAGCCAGCCUGAGAUCUUGGAGAUAAUGAACAAAGAGACCAAGUUGGCAUGUCAUCAGGGAGCUUGGUGGAUCUGGGGAGAGAGAUUUUCAUCUCAAGAAGGAUUUUCAGAAUUUAUAUCUGGACUUGUGCUAUUUGAGAUCUCGAGUUUGGUUCAGCAGAGCUUUCUGUAAAGCAUCCUUAGGAGCCCUGACAUCAGGUGACAGGGGAGGUGGCUGUGAUCUUUGGAUAGCCAGGCAGAGUGGAAUUCCUGUGAGAACCCCUGACAAGUACUCUUCUAAGUCCUUUGCUUCAGUGCCGUGAGGAAGGAUUAAAGCUGAUCCAUGCCAACUCUGUCAAUGGGCUCACCCUGGCUUGUUGGCAUAUUGUUGUUGACAGCUUCCAGGUGUAUGUUUUCUUAGAGAUGGAUUCCAUGCAAGAAAAAUGCUAUUCUUGUUGCCUAGGCAUUAGUUUAAUAAGUAAACAAGUUACAAAAUACUAAAGGAGAACACGAAGGUCUUUCCAGGCUUCCCACUGGGCUCCUCAGGAACUGCUUAUCUACCACUUUUCACACUAAAAAAGACCCAACAACUGUACUAUAGACAGGAUGUAUUUUAUCCUUUUUAUCUUAAUAAAUGUUUUAAAGGUUGUUCUUAUCCAUUAGGACCUCAGCACUGUAUACCUAUAGGGAGCCUCUCAUUUAAUUUGCAGAAUAAACAACAUCAUUUCCAUUUCAAAUCUAUAAAAAUAAGAGUCCAUGAGAUUAAAGAAAUUGUUCUGCAUCACAUCAUAAGGUAUUAAAAGUGGGUCCCUAGCCGGGCAUGUUGGCAGGUGCCUGUAAUCCCAGCUACUCAGAAGGCUGAGGCAGGAGAAUUGCUUGAACCCGGGAGGCGGAGGUUGCAGUGAGCUGAGAUGGCGCCACUGCACUCCAGCCUGGAUGACAGAGGAAACUCUGUCUCAAAACAAACAAACAAAAAAACCAACCAAACAAACAAAAACUGGGUCCCUAACUUGUAAUUAAGUAUCUAUCCAAGUGUCUAUCUUCCACAGAGAACACACAGUCUUGGAGUCUCACUUUCUACUGAUCAGGACCAUUAACCCCGCAACCUAGUUAGGCUACCAGGUUGGGCAGAUUUCUAUAGGACCUGGUCCCCUAAAGAGUAAAAAUCCCUCAACUGCUCCUUACUCCCUAACUUCAAAAGGAUCCAAAGGAUUUGGUUACCCGACAGGCCUGAGAUAAAGGCUUGAUUGUCUUUCCAGGAUUUCAAACCUGUUCUUUGGGGAUGGCCCAACCCCACUUGUUCAGUUUUGCAGCCAGAAGCAUGGAUUCAUCAUCAGUAUGGUGGGACGCUACUUCAGACUGCUUUCAUGUCAAGAUCUGCCUCAUCUUCCAAAGUGGGAGUUCCCAGCAUUAGGCUUGUGGGGGUGGAAGCUUAAUCCGCCUCCUUCCAAAAACUGAAGUGAGUCACUACCAACCUUGUCUCUCCACCCUUUACUGGGUCCAUACACAGCCCUGCCUUUUUUUAAGGAGGUGGAACCCAGCCUAAGGUCUCCAUUAAUGUGGAAUUGAGAAAGGGCAUCUGUUCUGGGUCAUUCUGACUUCCAGACUAGAAUUUAUCUCAGCUCUUAAGACAGAGCUAUCUUAAGAUAAGUUCUUAAGAGCUAACUUAAGAAAUCUUAAACAGUUUUACAGAAGUGGGUAAAAUCUCUGCAAGUCUUUGAAGAAUAUUAGCAAUGAAAAUGGUUGUUAUUUUUUCAAAAAAUAAUAACAUGAACUUGGAAUGGAUAGUUAUUUUGGCCAGAAGAUUAACAUGAAUUCUCUGACACCUGGGCAGAUUCCCCAUCUGAUCUGUGCUCCUUCCCAUUUGAACAUUGGAUACCUUUGAGAAACCUUCUUGGAGCAUGUAGAAAAGCCAGUACAUGGGCAUGGACAUACACAUACCCCACCCUUACAUUCUUCUUUUUGUUUC